Molecule: regulatory RNA element, 104 nt
Organism: Megasphaera elsdenii
Lineage: Bacteria; Bacillati; Bacillota; Negativicutes; Veillonellales; Veillonellaceae
Rfam family: TPP riboswitch aptamer (THI element)
About the family: Vitamin B(1) in its active form thiamin pyrophosphate (TPP) is an essential coenzyme that is synthesised by coupling of pyrimidine and thiazole moieties in bacteria. The previously detected thiamin-regulatory element, thi box was extended, resulting in a new, highly conserved RNA secondary structure, the THI element, which is widely distributed in eubacteria and also occurs in some archaea.
Source: Rfam
AGAAAAAGCUAGGGGAGCCUUCGGGCUGAGAAAAGUGACGGAUUACACUUGACCCUUUACCUGAUGCGGAUCAUGCCGCCGUAGGGAAGCUUUACGGGAUUAUA